GGCAGUCUCCUUGGAUAUC
This 19-nucleotide microRNA is filed under the name Arabidopsis lyrata. RNAcentral describes it as "aly-miR169i-3p". Its record names the gene aly-miR169i-3p. The record is from miRBase by way of RNAcentral. Lineage: Eukaryota; Viridiplantae; Streptophyta; Magnoliopsida; Brassicales; Brassicaceae.